Molecule: ribosomal RNA, 445 nt
Filed under: uncultured bacterium
Lineage: Bacteria
Description: partial 16S ribosomal RNA
Rfam family: Bacterial small subunit ribosomal RNA
Source: RNAcentral
GUGAGGAAUAUUGGUCAAUGGGCGGGAGCCUGAACCAGCCAAGUCGCGUGAAGGAAGAAGGAUCUAUGGUUCGUAAACUUCUUUUGCAGGGGAAUAAAGUGCAGGACGUGUCCUGUUUUGUAUGUACCCUGAGAAUAAGGAUCGGCUAACUCCGUGCCAGCAGCCGCGGUAAUACGGAGGAUCCGAGCGUUAUCCGGAUUUAUUGGGUUUAAGGGGUGCGUAGGUGGUUUGAUAAGUCAGCGGUGAAAGUUUGCAGCUUAACUGUAAAAAUGCCGUUGAAACUGUCGGACUUGAGUGUAAAUGAGGUAGGCGGAAUGCGUGGUGUAGCGGUGAAAUGCAUAGAUAUCACGCAGAACUCCGAUUGCGAAGGCAGCUUACUAAGCUACAACUGACACUGAAGCACGAAAGCGUGGGGAUCAAACAGGAUUAGAAACCCUUGUAGUCC